GUAGGUGGCAAGCGUUGUCCGGAAUUAUUGGGCGUAAAGCGCGCGCAGGGCGGUCCUUUAAGUCUGAUGUGAAAGCCCACGGCUCAACCGUGGAGGGUCAUUGGAAACUGGGGGGCUUGAGUACAGAAGAGGAAAGCGGAAUUCCAAGUGUAGCGGUGAAAUGCGUAGAGAUUUGGAGGAACACCAGUGGCGAAGGCGGCUUUCUGGUCUGUAACUGACGCUGAGGCGCGAAAGCGUGGGGAGCAAACAGGAUUAGAUACCCUGGUAGUCCACGCCGUAAACGAUGAGUGCUAAGUGUUAGGGGGUUUCCGCCCCUUAGUGCUGCAGCUAACGCAUUAAGCACUCCGCCUGGGGAGUACGGCCGCAAGGCUG
RNAcentral lists this ribosomal RNA (372 nucleotides) under uncultured organism. RNAcentral's name for it is "partial 16S ribosomal RNA". It matches the Rfam family "Bacterial small subunit ribosomal RNA", at positions 527 to 896 of the family's 1533-position model. The record is from RNAcentral.